This 190-nucleotide ribosomal RNA is filed under the name uncultured Flavobacterium sp. Its description in RNAcentral is "partial 16S ribosomal RNA". It matches the Rfam family "Bacterial small subunit ribosomal RNA", at positions 337 to 524 of the family's 1533-position model. Lineage: Bacteria; Pseudomonadati; Bacteroidota; Flavobacteriia; Flavobacteriales; Flavobacteriaceae. The record is from RNAcentral.
UCCUACGGGAGGCAGCAGUGAGGAAUAUUGGACAAUGGAGGCAACUCUGAUCCAGCCAUGCCGCGUGCAGGAAGACUGCCCUAUGGGUUGUAAACUGCUUUUAUACAGGAAGAAACAUCGCUACGUGUAGCGACUUGACGGUACUGUAAGAAUAAGGAUCGGCUAACUCCGUGCCAGCAGCCGCGGUAAU